CAGUCGCCGCGGGAAUACGGAGGGUGCAAGCGUUAAUCGGAAUUACUGAGCGUAAAGCGCACGCAGGCGGUCUGUCAAGUCAGAUGUGAAAUCCCCGGGCUUAACCUGGGAACUGCAUUUGAAACUGGCAGGCUAGAGUCUUGUAGAGGGGGGUAGAAUUCCAGGUGUAGCGGUGAAAUGCGUAGAGAUCUGGAGGAAUACCGGUGGCGAAGGCGGCCCCCUGGACAAAGACUGACGCUCAGGUGCGAAAGCGUGGGGAGCAAACAGGAUUAGAUACCCGCGUAGUCCCUGUCUCUUAUAC
RNAcentral lists this ribosomal RNA (301 nucleotides) under uncultured bacterium. RNAcentral's name for it is "partial 16S ribosomal RNA". It matches the Rfam family "Bacterial small subunit ribosomal RNA", at positions 509 to 807 of the family's 1533-position model. The record is from RNAcentral.